Clupea harengus (Atlantic herring) is the source of this 1615-nucleotide long non-coding RNA. The record is from Ensembl. NCBI's taxonomy places the organism in Eukaryota, Metazoa, Chordata, Actinopteri, Clupeiformes, Clupeidae.
CCCGGGACACAGUCACACACACACACACAGUCGUGUCUUGCAGCAAUCAGAGCUCCCGGCCGAAUAUUUUUUGUUUUCCUUUCGGCCAUGCAAAAUAAACGACACGAAAACAAACACACACGCGCGCGCGUUCGCAUGCACAGUUGACAACUACUCUCACAGGCUCGUGAUUUGACGGUUUGGCAAAACCGAUCAGGCAAGCACUGUAGCGUCUCAUCUAUCAAAGACCAAGGUCACGAAAUCAAACCUCCCUCUCUGAGCUGUUUACAUACGUAGCGGAUCCGCUCGUCACAGGCGACACCUCGGCUCCGCCUCGUGCGAUUCAUAAACCGUCAAUCAGUCCACAGCGACUGUGGUAGUUACAGCCUCCAUGUAGGUCAGGAACGCAAAGCGCGAAUCGGUGAUGUUUACCGUCUAACGGCCUCCGUCAAUCACUGCUUUUUAGCCCAACUUACCUUCCGAGAGCUCGAGCUCCAGCUCCGCGAGCCUAGCUCGCACCUCCAGAGGCAGCGGGAUCGUCUCGCGGUCGGCCAUUCUGCCUAAAAUAGGAUAAAUCCGCACAAGCCGACACUCUCGCUUCUCGGCACCUCUCCUCUCGCCGUCCUCCGAGUCUCCCCGGACCCCGCGUGAGUCAGACACGGAGAGUCUGCGCCAGGCGGAGAACAGCGUCUACAUAGAUCCGCGUGCACACAGGCGGCGGCUGCUGAAGGAGUUCGGGCUCGAGCAUCACCCAGUCCGUUUAACGCUGAUUUGUUUUCCUCUUCGUGAGACACCGUGUCGUUAACCUACUUGACGCUAACGAGUAAACUACGGUGGGCACGCACAAUCACUGACAGCCCUGAGCUCGCUCACUCGAUGUCUCCGUUGCUGCCUCUAGUUGGACCCACGUGACCAUUUCCGAGCCGACGGUCUGCGCGCUCUCCUCCCGUUCCCAAGGAGGGCGACAAAAUUCACGCGCUCGGCUGCCGGGGAAAACGUUCGCCAGAUGAGCUUCAGAGAAUAGAGGAGUGUGUGUGUUUGUGAAUAGAGAAGUGUGUGUGUGUGAAUGUGUGUGAAUAGAGAAGUGUGUGUGAGAUUAGAAGUAUGUGUGUGAAUAGAAAAGUGUGUGUGUGUGUGUGUGUGUGUGUGAUUAGAGAAUCUGACUGUCUGAUUUGAAUAUGUAAGUGACGCAUGCUCCCGGACGAAUGAAACUAACUUAUGCUCGCGUGAAAUCAGCUCUGCGAGAUAGAAAUAUGUAUUGGUGCAGAAGAAUAAACGGGAGGGAGGGACACACACACACACACACUUCUCUAUUCACACACACACACAUGUAUUGGUGCAGAAGAAUAAGCGGGAGGGACACAAAUGCGCUCCACUGGCUGUGGGGUCGAGGGUCGAGGGUCAAGGUUCACUGGCUUUGGCGUUAGGCUCGAGGGUCCACUGGCUUUGGGGUCGAGGGUCAACUGGCUUUGGGGUCGAGGGGCCGUUGGCCUUAUUAACCAGGCCCGGGAUCCCCACCUGACGUGGACACUUAACCCCACCCCCACACCUCAAGCCUGUGUUAUGUUAACACACACUACAUUGCACACUGCACAUUGCACAUCCACUUUUGCACUCCUGCCCUGCUUUUUGUAUU